Molecule: transfer RNA, 77 nt
Filed under: Gemmatimonadetes bacterium 13_1_40CM_69_22
Lineage: Bacteria; Pseudomonadati; Gemmatimonadota
Also listed under: 1 other name
Description: tRNA-His
Rfam family: tRNA
About the family: Transfer RNA (tRNA) molecules are approximately 80 nucleotides in length.
Source: RNAcentral
GUGGCUGUAGCUCAAUCGGUUAGAGCGCUGGACUGUGGCUCCAGAGGUUGCGGGUUCGAUUCCCGUCAGCCACCCUA